Molecule: ribosomal RNA, 436 nt
Filed under: uncultured bacterium
Lineage: Bacteria
Description: bacterial SSU rRNA
Rfam family: Bacterial small subunit ribosomal RNA
Source: RNAcentral
AGCGAACGCUGGCGGCAGGCCUAAUACAUGCAAGUCGAGCGGGUGUAGCAAUACACCAGCGGCAGACGGGAGAGUAACACGUGGGAACGUGCCCUCCAGUUCGGAACAACCCAGGGAAACUUGGGCUAAUACCGGAUACGUCCGUAAGGAGAAAGAUUUAUCGCUGAAGGAUCGGCCCUCGUCUGAUUAGCUUGUUGGUGAGGUAAUGGCUCACCAAGGCGACGAUCAGUAGCUGGUCUGAGAGGAUGAUCAGCCUCACUGGGACUGAGACACAGCCCAGACUCCUACGGGAGGCAGCAGUAGGGAAUAUUGGACAAUGGGCGCAAGCCUGAUCCAGCCAUGCCGCGUGGGUGAUGAAGGCCCUAGGGUUGUAAAGCCCUUUCGGCGGGGAAGAUAAUGACGGUACCCGCAGAAGAAGCCCCGGCUAACUUCGUGC